Molecule: transfer RNA, 74 nt
Filed under: Candidatus Tayloriibacteriota bacterium
Lineage: Bacteria; Candidatus Tayloriibacteriota
Description: tRNA-Gly
Rfam family: tRNA (bases 9-63)
About the family: Transfer RNA (tRNA) molecules are approximately 80 nucleotides in length. Their secondary structure includes four short double-helical elements and three loops (D, anti-codon, and T loops).
Source: RNAcentral
GCGCACNNACUCAGUGGUAGAGUGUCACCUUGCCAAGGUGAAAGUCGCGAGUUCGAAUCUCGUCUUCCGCUCCA